This 203-nucleotide long non-coding RNA is filed under the name Nicotiana benthamiana. RNAcentral describes it as "long non-coding RNA (NBEN_LNC001477)". Lineage: Eukaryota; Viridiplantae; Streptophyta; Magnoliopsida; Solanales; Solanaceae. The record is from RNAcentral.
CCUCCGCUACAGAAGUCUUACCCAUUCGAACGGUUGGAGAGUCUAGUGUGGCUCCUCCUAGACUCUCUGCAACAAACACUCCACUCUUGACAUAUCAUCGUCGUCCUCGCCCAGCAUCCGGCUCGGUUGAUUCACGUUCUGCGCCUGACCCUGCUCCUACUGCGGACUUGUCUCUUCUGAUUGCACUUCGGAAAGGUAUACGG